AUUGAACGCUGGCGGCAGGCCUAACACAUGCAAGUCGAGCGGCAGCGGGACCUUCGGGUUGCCGGCGAGCGGCGGACGGGUGAGUAAUGCCUAGGAAUCUGCCUGUUAGUGGGGGAUAACGCGGGGAAACUCGCGCUAAUACCGCAUACGUCCUACGGGAGAAAGCGGGGGCUCUUCGGACCUCGCGCUAACAGAUGAGCCUCGGUCGGAUUAGCUAGUUGGUGGGGUAAUGGCCCACCAAGGCGACGAUCCGUAACUGGUCUGAGAGGAUGAUCAGUCACACUGGAACUGAGACACGGUCCAGACUCCUACGGGAGGCAGCAGUGGGGAAUAUUGGACAAUGGGCGAAAGCCUGAUCCAGCCAUGCCGCGUGUGUGAAGAAGGUCUUCGGAUUGUAAAGCACUUUAAGUCGGGAGGAAGGGCUGCAGGUUAAUACCUUGCAGCCUUGACGUUACCGACAGAAUAAGCACCGGCUAACUUCGUGCCAGCAGCCGCCGUAA
This 500-nucleotide ribosomal RNA is filed under the name uncultured bacterium. RNAcentral describes it as "partial 16S ribosomal RNA". It matches the Rfam family "Bacterial small subunit ribosomal RNA", at positions 30 to 523 of the family's 1533-position model. The record is from RNAcentral.